GACGAACGCUGGCGGCGUGCUUAACACAUGCAAGUCGAACGGAAAGGCCCUGCUUGCAGGGUACUCGAGUGGCGAACGGGUGAGUAACACGUGGGUGAUCUGCCCUGCACUUCGGGAUAAGCCUGGGAAACUGGGUCUAAUACCGGAUAGGAGCCAUUUUUAGUGUGAUGGUUGGAAAGUUUUUUCGGUGUAGGAUGAGCUCGCGGCCUAUCAGCUUGUUGGUGGGGUAAUGGCCUACCAAGGCGGCGACGGGUAGCCGGCCUGAGAGGGUGGACGGCCACAUUGGGACUGAGGUGCGGCCCAGACUCCGACGGGAGGCAGCAGUGGGGAAUAUUGCACAAUGGGCGCAAGCCUGAUGCAGCGACGCCGCGGGGGGGAUGACGGCCUUCGGGUUGUAAACUCCUUUCGAUAGGGACGAAGCUUUUUGUGACGGUACCUAGAGAAGAAGCACCGGCUAACUACGUG
RNAcentral lists this ribosomal RNA (465 nucleotides) under uncultured bacterium. RNAcentral describes it as "partial 16S ribosomal RNA". It matches the Rfam family "Bacterial small subunit ribosomal RNA", at positions 28 to 507 of the family's 1533-position model. The record is from RNAcentral.